Molecule: ribosomal RNA, 291 nt
Filed under: uncultured bacterium
Lineage: Bacteria
Description: partial 16S ribosomal RNA
Rfam family: Bacterial small subunit ribosomal RNA
Source: RNAcentral
GGAUGAAAGUAGCUUGCUACUGGAUUCAGCGGCGGACGGNUGAGUAAUGCUUANGAAUCNGCCUAUUAGUGGGGGACAACAUCUAUGAAAGGGAUGCUAAUACCGCAUACGUCCUACGGGAGAAAGCAGGGGAUCUUCGGACCUUGCGCUNAUAGAUGAGCCUAAGUUGGAUUAGCUAGUUGGUGGGGUAAAGGCCUACCAAGGCGACGAUCUGUAGCGGGUNNGAGAGGAUGAUCCGCCACANUGGGANUGAGACACGGCCNAGACUCCUACGGGGCGCAGCAGAAGGGC